GAUGAAGAACGCAGCGAAAUGCGAUAAGUAGUGUGAAUUGCAGAAUUCGGUGAAUCAUCGAAUCUUUGAACGCACAUUGCGCCCCUUGGUAUUCCAUGGGGCAUGCCUGUUCGAGCGUCAUUUGUACCUUCAAGCUCUGCUUGGUGUUGGGUGUUUGUCUCGCCUCUGCGUGUAGACUCGCCUUAAAACAAUUGGCAGCCGGCGUAUUGAUUUCGGAGCGCAGUACAUCUCGCGCUUUGCACUCAUAACGACGACGUCCAAAAGUACAUUUUUACACUCUUGACCUCGGAUCAGGUAGGGAUACCCGCUGAACUUAAGCAUAUCAAUAAGCGGAGGA
This 337-nucleotide unclassified non-coding RNA is filed under the name soil metagenome. Its description in RNAcentral is "partial contains 5.8S ribosomal RNA, internal transcribed spacer 2, and large subunit ribosomal RNA". The stretch from base 1 to 120 matches the Rfam family "5.8S ribosomal RNA", at positions 35 to 154 of the family's 154-position model. The record is from RNAcentral.